RNAcentral lists this long non-coding RNA (294 nucleotides) under Sorghum bicolor (sorghum). Its description in RNAcentral is "long non-coding RNA (SBIC_LNC010122)". Lineage: Eukaryota; Viridiplantae; Streptophyta; Magnoliopsida; Poales; Poaceae. The record is from RNAcentral.
AGCAUUCUAAGUCUCCUACCCUCUCUUUUUAUAAAAGCACAAGAGUAUAACUUUAUAUGAUGCAUUAGGUGAUAGGAGUUGAAUGAAACCGUUGGUGCAUAUAUUCCUACCUUGUCCACUAUACGAAACUACCUGAACCCUUACUAGUAUAAGGAAGACGUUCUAUGCUUAGCUAUGCUUAGCUCGGUAGAAGCCAGGUGAUUUCCUGUCACCUGCGAGAGAUAGGUGGAUACCUGAUCACGGUUGGCUAUAUUUGCUAUCGUGGAAAUAACCAUGUGCUAAUAAUGAAUUUGA